This 441-nucleotide ribosomal RNA is filed under the name Wolbachia endosymbiont of Aedes albopictus. Its description in RNAcentral is "bacterial SSU rRNA". It matches the Rfam family "Bacterial small subunit ribosomal RNA", at positions 335 to 794 of the family's 1533-position model. Lineage: Bacteria; Pseudomonadati; Pseudomonadota; Alphaproteobacteria; Rickettsiales; Anaplasmataceae. The record is from RNAcentral.
ACUCCUACGGGAGGCAGCAGUGGGGAAUAUUGGACAAUGGGCGAAAGCCUGAUCCAGCCAUGCCGCAUGAGUGAAGAAGGCCUUUGGGUUGUAAAGCUCUUUUAGUGAGGAAGAUAAUGACGGUACUCACAGAAGAAGUCCUGGCUAACUCCGUGCCAGCAGCCGCGGUAAUACGGAGAGGGCUAGCGUUAUUCGGAAUUAUUGGGCGUAAAGGGCGCGUAGGCUGGUUAGUAAGUUAAAAGUGAAAUCCCGAGGCUUAACCUUGGAACUGCUUUUAAAACUGCUAACCUAGAGAUUGAAAGAGGAUAGAGGAAUUCCUAGUGUAGAGGUGAAAUUCGUAAAUAUUAGGAGGAACACCAGUGGCGAAGGCGUCUAUCUGGUUCAAAUCUGACGCUGAAGCGCGAAGGCGUGGGGAGCAAACAGGAUUAGAUACCCAGUAGU